AAAAAAAAUAGCUCUCUCCAUUCUUCUCCUCAAAACCGAUAGCUCCCCAAGCUCCAUGGCUGCCAUUUUCUCUCCCCAAGCUUAUGCACUAACUCUCCAUUGAAGGAAGGGGAGAAGCUCAAGAGCACACCAAGGAAGAGGUUAAAGAGAGGUGGUUCUAGGAGAAUCUCAAAGUUGAAGCUUUUUGGUGAUCUAGUGAAAACAAAGAACACAAGGAGGAAGUUUGAAAAGCUAAGGGAACCUCAUCUCCAAGCAAGAACCAUCAAAGGUAAGUGCAAAAGCAAAGUGGAGCAGUGAGCGCCAGAGUCUGAUUGUGGAUAUGUACAUGUGGUCUAACCUGGGGAGGUUUUGAUGGAGCACCAUUUUGAAAAGAAACAUUGGUUGUUAUCUCUUUUAUGACAUUUGUUUUGCUUUAACUUUGUAAAAGAAUAGGUGUAAUUCUGUUUACUAAAACUAAAAGUGUGCGCACACAAUCUUCUUAAAAGUUUUUUUAUAUGGAUUUUUGGUACAAUGAAUUAAAGUAAAAGUAUAGAUUUCUGCA
Molecule: long non-coding RNA, 541 nt
Organism: Humulus lupulus (European hop)
Lineage: Eukaryota; Viridiplantae; Streptophyta; Magnoliopsida; Rosales; Cannabaceae
Exons: 4
Source: RefSeq, a predicted model, not a curated record